UCCCUGUUGCCAGGGCAGUCUAGCUAGAAAAAUCCAACUAACUAUAAGGGUUGCGCUCGUUGAUGGACUUAACCAAACAUCUCACGACACGAGCUGACGACGGCCAUGCAGCACCUGUCACUGCGCUCAAUAAAGCACAUUCGCCUUUCGGCAAACUUCGCAGGAUGUCAAACCUGGGUAAGGUUCUUCGCUUACCAUCGAAUUAAACAACACGCUCCACCGCUUGUGCGGGUCCCCGUCAAUUCCUUUAUGUUUUAAGCUUGCGCUCGUACUCCACAGGCGGGAUGCUUAACGCGUUAGCUUCGCUACUAGAAGGGUCGAUACUUCUAACAGCUAGCAUCCAUAGUUUACGGCGUGGACUAC
RNAcentral lists this unclassified non-coding RNA (363 nucleotides) under uncultured bacterium. Its description in RNAcentral is "contains 16S-23S intergenic spacer region". The record is from RNAcentral.